This 454-nucleotide ribosomal RNA is filed under the name uncultured bacterium. RNAcentral's name for it is "partial 16S ribosomal RNA". It matches the Rfam family "Bacterial small subunit ribosomal RNA", at positions 28 to 507 of the family's 1533-position model. The record is from RNAcentral.
GAUGAACGCUGACAGAAUGCUUAACACAUGCAAGUCAACUUGAACUUCGGUUUGGGUGGCGGACGGGUGAGUAACGCGUAAAGAACUUGCCUCACAGAUAGGGACAACAUUUGGAAACGAAUGCUAAUACCUGUUAUUAUGAUUUUAGGGCAUCCUAGGUUUAUGAAAGCUAUAUGCGCUGUGAGAGAGCUUUUCGUCCCAUUAGCUAGUUGGAGAGGUAACGGCUCACCAAGGCGAUGAUGGGUAGCCGGCCUGAGAGGGUGAUCGGCCACAAGGGGACAGAGACACGGCCCUAACGCAUAAGGGAGGCAAGAGUGGGGAAUAAUGGACAAAGGACCAAGAGUCUGAUGAAGCAAUUCUGUGUGCACGAUGAAGUUUUUAGGAAUGAAAAGUGCUUUAAGUUGGGAAGAAAAAAAUGACGGUACCAAAAGAAGAAGUGACGGCUAAAUACGUG